AUCAGUGCCUUUCUACUUCUUCCAUUUCCCCCAGUGGGGCUGAAUUUGCAUCAUGGGGUUAUUUAGUUUUAGAACUCCUACCUCUUCUUCCAGAGUUUUUCCCGGUGCAAGCUGAGGGUGCCACCUCCACCCUCGCGACCUUCGAAGGUCAAAGAGUUUCCUCCUUGGGGCCGGGCUUCUCAGAAAAGCCACCUCCGCAGUGCUCAGGUUAUGAAAUGCCCCCUCCACUGCCCAGGCCCUUUUCGCUGGAAUCACGGUGCAGUCCACGGGGAAGUGUUGCUGGGCUGCAUGCAGAGGGGUCAGAGAUGAGACUCCUUCACCCUCCCAUGCCCCCGUUUGACAGAGAAGAAACCUGAGAUUCCAAGAGAAACUGAUUUUGUGGCUCUGAAACCUGGCUCUUCCCUCUGCACCUGCUGACCAAGAUCUCAACUUCUGGAAGAGGACACAUUAAGGACUUCAGAUGUACCUCACGAUCUGAACAAUUAUAUUUUUAUUUCAAAAUAAUGUUAUCACAACCCAAAGAGUGAAAUUAACAAUAUAUAAUAAAUU
Molecule: long non-coding RNA, 549 nt
Filed under: Rhinopithecus bieti (black snub-nosed monkey)
Lineage: Eukaryota; Metazoa; Chordata; Mammalia; Primates; Cercopithecidae
Description: lncRNA (ENSRBIG00000045788.1)
Source: RNAcentral